GCCGCCGUGGCGGAACUGGUAUACGCGCGACACUUAAAAUGUCGUGUCCGGAAGGACAUGUCGGUUCGACUCCGACCGGCGGCA
RNAcentral lists this transfer RNA (84 nucleotides) under Candidatus Kerfeldbacteria bacterium. Its description in RNAcentral is "tRNA-Leu". It matches the Rfam family "tRNA". From Rfam's summary of the family: Transfer RNA (tRNA) molecules are approximately 80 nucleotides in length. Their secondary structure includes four short double-helical elements and three loops (D, anti-codon, and T loops). Further hydrogen bonds mediate the characteristic L-shaped molecular structure. tRNAs have two regions of fundamental functional importance: the anti-codon, which is responsible for specific mRNA codon recognition, and the 3' end, to which the tRNAs corresponding amino acid is attached (by aminoacyl-tRNA synthetases). tRNAs cope with the degeneracy of the genetic code in two manners: having more than one tRNA (with a specific anti-codon) for a particular amino acid; and 'wobble' base-pairing, i.e. permitting non-standard base-pairing at the 3rd anti-codon position. Lineage: Bacteria; Candidatus Kerfeldiibacteriota. The record is from RNAcentral.